Molecule: small nucleolar RNA, 134 nt
Organism: Grammomys surdaster
Lineage: Eukaryota; Metazoa; Chordata; Mammalia; Rodentia; Muridae
Product: small nucleolar RNA SNORA84
Exons: 1
Source: RefSeq, a predicted model, not a curated record
GCCCUGUGGUUGCUGGAGGCUGUUGUGCAGGUACAGUUCUCCAGUGGAUACAAUGGGCUAGAAAAACCCUGUGAUUUAUGCAUGGGAGCUGUUUUCUUCUCAGCAGCUGCCAUAGCCCGGUCACUGGUACAUUG